This 1021-nucleotide long non-coding RNA is filed under the name Macaca mulatta (Rhesus monkey). RNAcentral's name for it is "lncRNA (ENSMMUG00000054803.1)". The record is from RNAcentral. Lineage: Eukaryota; Metazoa; Chordata; Mammalia; Primates; Cercopithecidae.
GACUUCAACUAUAACCAAGGAAUCAUCAUACCCUGAGGUAUAAUCUUUCCAUCUGUCAUACCAACGAAGCUGGAGAAUUCUAAGUGCAAAGAAUGAACUCUGUGACAUUCAGUGCAUCUCAAUGACAUGAAGAUACAAAAUUUGAGCAAGUACAGGAAAUACAACCCAGUUCACGUAUGGAUGUUGCUGGCUCUGUUUACGCCAUCCUGUGGGACUUGGGAAAUGACACAAAAAUAAUAACAUUACUCUGGAUACUGCUAUUGCUGGCUGCCUGUUUCACAUCUUGAACACCAGGAAUACAGACAUGUCUGGCAGUCCCACAGUUGUUUAUCUGCAAAAGGCAGCAGCGUUUUCCAUGGUCCAGUGCUGAAAUAGAUGGAGUGGAAUGGGGAGUCUCUCUCUCCUGCUCCACCCUGGUGGGACGUGUUUACUUCGCUCUUGCCUUCUGCUAUGAUUGUAAGUUCCUGAGGCCUCCCAGCCCUGCUUCCUGUACAGCCUGCAGAACUACUGUACAAGAAGCAUGGUACCAGCAUCUGCGUGCGGUGAAGGCCUUGGGAAGCUUCCAAUCAUGGUGGAAGGUGAAGCAGGAAGAGGCACAUCACACAGCAAGAAAGACAGCAAGAGAGAUGCCAGGCUAUUUUAAACAGCUAUCUCUCGCAUGAACUCAUUGUUACAGUGAAGGCAUCAAGCCAUUCAUGAGGGAUUCACGGCCAUGACCCAAACACAUCCCACCAGGCCCCACCUCCAUCACUGGGGAUCAUAUUUCAACAUGAGAUUUGGAGAGGACAAAUAUACAAACCAUAUCAUUCUGUCCCUGGCACCCCAAAUCUCCUGUUCUUCUCAUUUUACUAAAUACGAUCAUCACUUCCAAAGAGUCAUCAAAAGUCUUAACUUAUUCCAGCAUGCACUCAAAAGUCUGAAGUCUCAUCUGAGACCCCAGGCAAGUUUCUUUCACCUAUGCACCUGUAAGAUAAAAAGAAAAGUUAUUAACGUUUGCGAUACAAUGAUGGUACAUGCACUG